GCCCUGGUUGGGUAGCUCAGUAGGUUAGAGCGUUGUCCUGGCAACCAAGGUUGUGGGUUCGAUCCCCACCCAGGGCA
Molecule: non-coding RNA, 77 nt
Organism: Myotis myotis
Lineage: Eukaryota; Metazoa; Chordata; Mammalia; Chiroptera; Vespertilionidae
Source: the annotation of a RefSeq genome assembly